Long non-coding RNA from Nymphaea colorata (pocket water lily), 824 nucleotides. RefSeq lists it as uncharacterized. NCBI's taxonomy places the organism in Eukaryota, Viridiplantae, Streptophyta, Magnoliopsida, Nymphaeales, Nymphaeaceae. The transcript is spliced from 3 exons. The record is from RefSeq and is a predicted model, not a curated record.
CCAGGCCAAGGCCGGAUAGGCCGGACCGGCGGUGGCCCGGUCGGCCCGACGGGCUCCCUCCCCCUUCGGCCUUCUCCACUUCCCGUCUCCUUCCCCCCUUCCCGUCUCAGUUUCCCCUCCCCUUCCCAGUUCCCCCCGACGGGCUCCCUUCCCCACUUCCCGUCUCCUUCCCCCUUCCCGUCUCCCUCUCCCUUCUCCUUCCCCUUCCCAGUUCCCCCUCCCCCCCCCUUCCCGUCUCCCUCCCCCUUCCCGAUUUCAGAUUUUUAGAGAGCGUGUCGACAUGGCGCCGGAGCCUUGUGGUGGUGUUUUGAGAAGCACGGUUCACAUCCAGGAUGGUCCGACAAGGAUCCAGUGUGAUGCUGAAAGCCGAAGCGAGCUCCGGUGGGAUCAGCGUCUGCAAGAGGGGCGUCAAAUCCUCCAAGCUUAUGGGAUACAGAUGAAGAGUACAUAUAAGAGAAGACAUAUCGUCCAUUCGACAUAUAAGACUAACUCACAUAAGCUAAAAAAAAUAUGAUACCAUGGAGAGUGAAGAUACAAGUAGUGAACAGCAUACAACUGAUGCAUGCCCUUCUGGCCCUUCAAAUAAGAAUUCACAUGGCAUCACUCGAGCUUAAGAAAUGGUUCAAGGUACAAGAUAACAAUGAACCCAUUGGGCCAACCUAUUGAAAGAGAGGCACAAUAUUUGACGACAUACAUCGGUGCACAGGUGGACGAUCCUUUUGUCACACUGUUUUUGUAUUAUAAUUUUUUUGAGCUUCCAGCUUCAUUGAAGACAGAUCUAUCGUUACGUGUACAAGUAUGUAAUGUUUUCAUAUAAAUUGUUU